UACAGAGGGGGCAAGCGUUGUUCGGAAUUACUGGGCGUAAAGGGCGCGUAGGCGGCCUUCUAAGUCGAACGUGAAAUCCCCGGGCUCAACCCGGGAACUGCGUCCGAUACUGGAAGGCUUGAAUCCGGGAGAGGGAUGCGGAAUUCCAGGUGCAGCGGUGAAAUGCGUAGAUAUCGGGAAGAACACCCGUGGCGAAGGCGGUUCUCUGGGACGGUACUGACGCUGAGACGCGAAAGCGUGGGGAGCGAACAGG
RNAcentral lists this ribosomal RNA (253 nucleotides) under uncultured bacterium. RNAcentral describes it as "partial 16S ribosomal RNA". It matches the Rfam family "Bacterial small subunit ribosomal RNA", at positions 524 to 776 of the family's 1533-position model. The record is from RNAcentral.